GAACGCUGGCGGCGUGCCUAAUACAUGCAAGUCGAACGGCAGCGGGGGGAGCUUGCUCCCUGACGGCGGGUGGCGGACGGGUGAGUAACACGUAGGAAUCUACCUUAAUUAUAAUAGUUAGUGGGGGAUAACCCGGGGAAACUCGGGCUAAUACCGCAUAAUCUCUUCAAAGCAAAGCGGGGGAUCUUCGGACCUCGUGCUAUGAGAUGAGCCUGCGUCGGAUUAGCUAGUUGGUAGGGUAAUGGCCUACCAAGGCGACGAUCCGUAGCUGGUCUGAGAGGACGAUCAGCCACACUGGGACUGAGACACGGCC
This 313-nucleotide ribosomal RNA is filed under the name uncultured Coxiella sp. RNAcentral's name for it is "bacterial SSU rRNA". It matches the Rfam family "Bacterial small subunit ribosomal RNA", at positions 31 to 331 of the family's 1533-position model. The record is from RNAcentral. Lineage: Bacteria; Pseudomonadati; Pseudomonadota; Gammaproteobacteria; Legionellales; Coxiellaceae.